RNAcentral lists this ribosomal RNA (492 nucleotides) under uncultured bacterium. Its description in RNAcentral is "partial 16S ribosomal RNA". It matches the Rfam family "Bacterial small subunit ribosomal RNA", at positions 29 to 507 of the family's 1533-position model. The record is from RNAcentral.
AGUGAACGCUGGCGGUAGGCCUAACACAUGCAAGUCGAACGGAAGGACAGUAAGCGUUCGCCUUUAAGGGUGGCGAGUGGCGGACGGGUGAGGCAUACAUAACCAACUAAUUAUUCGUGGGGGACAACGUAGGGACACUUCCGAUACUAGCGAAUAUGUCCUACGGCUGAAAGCAGGAGUGAUUGGCAGCUUGCGUGAUUGAAAGAGCUGAUGUCGGAUUAGCUAGUCGGCGGGGUAAGGGCACACCAAGGCGACGAUCCGUAGCUGGUCUGAGAGGAUGAUCAGCCACACUGGAACUGAGACACGGUCCAGACUCCUACGGGAGGCAGCAGUGGGGAAUAUUGGGCAAUGGGCGCAAGCCUGAUCCAGCCACACCGCGUGGGUGAAGAAGGCCUUCGGGUUGUAAAGCCCUUUUAUUAGGAAAGAAAAGCAGCAGGUUAAUACCCCGCUGUUCUGACGGUACCCAAAGAGUAAGCACCGGCUAACUUCGUG